CUGGGGGAGGUGAGUUCAGGGCUGCGAGUCAGGAGACCUGUGUUCCAGGCCCAGUCCUGACCGGGAGGACGUGGACAUCAGGCGACUAGGGGGAGGCCAAACUACAGCCACCAGCCCCGGGAGCAUCAAACCACAGGAGAGGUUCCAGCCCAGCUGCCAUGCUCUGGUCCUACCCCUCAACUGUACUGACACCCAGCCCUGCUGAGGAAUCCACGGAGACUUGCUGACUGGCAGGCUCUGGCCUUGGCUUGGUCCCCUUUCUCCCUUCCUGCCUCCUCCUGCCCACGGAGGACCUAUCGUCCUGAUGAGGAACUCCUUUGAAAAAAGACAAAGCAGGAUCCACCCUGCCAGAUCCCGAAGCAAAGAGUGGGAUAUCAGAAACCCAGAUGCCAAUGACUGCAUCAGGAGGCCGGAUGGAUGGAGAUGCAGAAACCGAUAGGGCAGUGCGCUCUGUGCUUGGAGGUAGUCCAGGAGAAACAAACCCACCACUGAUUCUGGGCUGCCUGCAGAGGCCCUGGCAUGGUAGCCUGCAGGGUACACCCCAGCACAGGCACUGCUUGGCCAGCAAUACCUGGCCAAGGUUAGAGAGAUUCCUGCUUUGGAUUAUUUUUCUCCAAUAUCAAACAUAUAUCUUUUAAAAAGUAAAUUGAACAUAUAUAACUUGGGGUCUUUAUUUUCAAUAUAUAUGAGGUUUUUUUUUUUUCUUUUUUUUAAUUAAAAGGGUUUACUGGGCAACUUAAAAUCCACUUAACCUUUCCUUUUUUAACCUUCCAUUCUAUUUUAUUGGAAGACUGGAAAGUAAAGGGAAGUGUUGUAGUAUUCAUAUUCCCAGAGAAUCUCCCAGAUCACUGUAGUGACAAAGCACUCGGAUAAGGAGACUUGAGUCUCCCCUAACAGUUCUUCACUGGGUAUAUCUCAUCCUUUCUGGACUCCAGUUUCCUCACCUGAAGGAGCCCUCUAUUACCUUUAAGGGUUCCUGUAGCAUCUAUUUCUGCUUUAUUGACUAUGCCAAAGCCUUUGACUGUGU
Molecule: long non-coding RNA, 1027 nt
Organism: Bos taurus (domestic cattle)
Lineage: Eukaryota; Metazoa; Chordata; Mammalia; Artiodactyla; Bovidae
Source: Ensembl